This 464-nucleotide ribosomal RNA is filed under the name uncultured bacterium. Its description in RNAcentral is "bacterial SSU rRNA". It matches the Rfam family "Bacterial small subunit ribosomal RNA", at positions 331 to 792 of the family's 1533-position model. The record is from RNAcentral.
CCAGACUCCUACGGGAGGCAGCAGUGAGGAAUAUUGGUCAAUGGGCGGAAGCCUGAACCAGCCAAGUCGCGUGAGGGAAGAAGGCCCUGCGGGUCGCAGACCUCUUUGGACGGGGAGCAAGGCCGCCGACGUGUCGGCGGAAGGAGAGUACCCGUAGAACAAGCAUCGGCUAACUCCGUGCCAGCAGCCGCGGUAAUACGGAGGAUGCGAGCGUUAUCCGGAUUUAUUGGGUUUAAAGGGUGCGCAGGCGGCCCGGCAGGCCGGGGGGAAAAUGGGGGGGCUAAACCCGGCCCAGCCGUCGGAACUGCCGGGCUAGAGUGGGCGAGAAGUGCGCGGAAUGCGUGGUGUAGCGGUGAAAUGCAUAGAUAUCACGCAGAACGCCGAUUGCGAAGGCAGCGCACCGGCGCCCUACUGACGCUAAGGCACGAAAGCGUGGGUAUCGAACAGGAUUAGAUCCCCCUGUC